Orcinus orca (killer whale) is the source of this 31395-nucleotide long non-coding RNA. RefSeq lists it as uncharacterized. NCBI's taxonomy places the organism in Eukaryota, Metazoa, Chordata, Mammalia, Artiodactyla, Delphinidae. The transcript is spliced from 2 exons. The record is from RefSeq and is a predicted model, not a curated record.
GGCUCCGGGAGACCGGGGCGCGGCGAGGGUGGAGGUCGGGGCGCCGGCGAGGCCAGCCCGGGGGGAAGAGGAGAAGGAACAGGUGCCUGUUGGGGGGGCCGCGGGAUAGGGGUGCACGCCCCCCUCACCCCCACCGGAGGGGGCGGCAGGCGCUCGGAGAAGGCGUUGAGCGGCCGGGGACCCAGCGUCUGAGGAGGGGGUUGGAGGAGGAGGAGGCCUCCGCGGCGGAUGUCAUCUGGUCAUGGGCGGAGCAGGUGAUGGAGAAGGGGAGCUUGACUCCGGGGUGGGAAGCCCACGGAAGGGAAGUGGAUUUCCGCGGGCACCCCGGAACUGGCCUGAGGGGGUGGCUGAUGGGCAGGAGCAAUGGAAAAGGUGGAGAGGGGUGGGCUGGGGCAAAGGUGGGCCACGCAGCUGAGAGGCAUCUUCUGAGAACAGGUGAUAAGAGGCCGAACUUGGAAGUUGUGAGAGAGGAGGAGCCACCUCUACUGGGACUGCCUUGGGAUGGGGAGUGAAUGGAGAGUUGGUAAGGUGGGCAGAGGCCCAGGUGUGAGCGGAGGAAAGCUACGGAAGGAGAGAGUCUUGGGAACCCUGGAGGGACACCCUGGUGAAGAGGUUGGAAGGGGAGACUGUUUGGAUAACUAGAUUCUGGACAGGAAGUCAUUGGUGACAGUGGGGCCUGGGCAGAAUCUUUGUAAGGGUUGGUAUCCUGUUUUGUAGAAUAUGAAGUGGCCCGGUGCCCUGGGUCACAUAUGGGGUUGGAGAAUCUACAAGUUAUGUCCAUUUUAAUGGGACUUUUUAAAGUUAUAACAUAUCUUGUUAAGGACUGAGAAGCGUACUAUGUAGUUUAUGGAAUGAGAACAUACCUAUCUUGAGAAGGGAGUGCUGUGGUUUGGGGAAAGGGGGAUGAGACACCUCCCUUUAGCAGGCAGAGGUGGAAUAUUUGCAGGAGGGAGUUGAAGGAAUGGCGAUAGUAUCGUUGAGGAGUGGAGUGGGGAGGAAGCAAGAAAUGGGAUGAUGGUAGGUGCAGGGAUGGAAAAUCUGCUUGCAGUCUAGAGCGAUUGUUCGAAGAUGGUUUACUCUGUGAAGCCAAUGUGGUUUGGGAUAGAACUAGAGACUUUCCCUUCUUAGAAAAGAGCAUAGUAGAGUGGGAAGAGCAUGGCGUUUAGAGUUGGUUUGGAUGUCGGGUUCACCACUUAACUCGGUUUACAACUAGACAAGAUAGUAAGUUUUCCAUUCUUUUCUCCUUACCUAUAAAAUAGGGGGAUUACCUUUUUCAUAAGCUGUAAGGAUUAAAUGAAUAACUUUACAAAGCACAGGGUAAACUGUAAGGUGCCAUGUUUUAGUAUAUUAUAAUUAUCUUAGGGAAACAGCAAAGAAAUGGGUAAUAUCUGAAAAUAAGGAAUGGCCUUGGGUAGAAGGCUUUAACUGAGUGGAUGAUUUGUGGUGGUUGGGGUUAUGAGAAGUCAGGAACUCAUUGUGUCUUCACAUAGGGGAAGAGGAUUGGUGAUUGAAGACGAUAAUUCAAAAGGGAACUUCAGUGAUGUAUAUACAAUCUCAAAAAGAAGAAAACUGAGAGACUGAGAGAAAGCAAUGCUAAAGCAAGAAUUAAAAUCUUAGUGAAAAGUUGUGACAACAUAUGUAUUUUUAAAAGACGUUUAAACUACUUUGUUUUGAGCAACAGUGAGCUGCCUCUCUGUAGCAGGGGAUUCGGAACACAGGAUUAGAAUGUUUCUAAAGAAUUAGAGCUUUCUUAUGGACAGAAUAAGAAAGGAAGUGAAGGGGCCCCUGCGUGCCUUGUGCUAACUCACUCAUCUUGAGCGUCUUAACACUCUGGCCCAGCUGAGAGUCCUGAUGACGAUCCUUCUGUUUGUACUGUGCUGUAGAGAGGCUGUGGAUGGUUCAAAGAGUAAGCACAGUGGCCAAGAAUUGGGGAUAAUGAGAGUGUUUUACUAGGUAGGUUGGCCACACACUGUGAUGUUGGAUGGCUCUGCUACUUAAAGGAGGGUUGUUUAGUGAAGUUUGACAGUUUAUAAGAUUUAUCCUCCUGAAAUACUUCCUUCAAUCUCAGGUCCCUUAGUUUGCUUUACAGGUAAAGAAAGAAGCUUCUUGAAAUCAGAAUGCUUAGCUCCUCACCUUUAGCAUGUUUUGAGAUGGAGAAAGUUUUUACAGCAUCUUGGAAGAGGGUGGUGUAUGGAGGGAAAGGAUUGGGAAGCCAGGCAGCUUUCUUCCUGAGUAGUUCUUCCCAGGUCAACCAGGCAAUAAUAUAAAGAACUAUCCAUGUGACAUUUAAUAUAUGCACCUACUUGUUUCUCACAAGUCCCUGGGGUAGGUGAUCUUUCCCUAUUUUACAGAGGAGGAAACUUAGGCUCAGGCGCCCAAAUGAUUUGUCCAAGAUACUUCAACUGUGGUGCUUUUUCUUCUUGUUGUUGUUUGGCAUGAAUUCUCCAUGAUUUUAUUCAUUCUCAUUGAAAUAUAAGUAUGGAAAAGGUAUGCCCAAAGUACAUGUAAACGGUUUUGGAUUGUCUGUCAUUUUGCAGUAUCUUUGUCACUGUUCCCUUGGUUUGAUCAACAAUCAAGAGUUGAUUUUUUUGAAAAUAGGUUUGCACUUUAUUUGUAUGUGGUCUUUAGGAAAAUCAACCUUGUGGAGACUACUGUGGUGGUAUGGAUAUGUCUGACAUGGAGUCAGUGAAGAAGGUAGGAACAUAUGAAAAUAGGUUCCUUUAGGAUUUUUGUGGAGUAAGACAUGUAAAUUAUAAAACAGGAUUGGCCAUGAGUUGAUUAUUGUUGAAUCUCAGUGGUGAGUCCAUUUAUUCUGUAUACUUUUACAUGUUAAACAUUUUCAUAAUAGAUUAAAAAAAAAGCUUCUACACAGAAGUUCAUGCUGUUCUCUGGUUUCUUGUGCCUGCUUUUUUCCUAGCAAAUUCUAUCAAAGUUCUGUUACCCAGCUGUGAAGCAUUUUCUGACCACCCCAACUGAAAGUAAGCUCUUUGUUGUUUUUUUUUAAAUUUAUUUAUUUUUGGCUGCGUUGGGCCUUCAUUGCGGUGCAUGGGCUUUCUCUAGUUGUGGCGAGACGGGGCUACUCUUUGUUGUGGUGCGCGGGCUUCUCAUUGCGGUGGUUUCUCUUGUUGCAGAGCCUGGGACUCUAGGUGCGCAGGCUUCAGUAGUUGUGGCUCGAGGACUCUAGAGCACAGGCUCGGUAGUUGUGGCGCACGGGCUUAGUUGCUCCGCGGCCUGUGGGAUCUUCCCGGACCAGAGAUUGAACCCGCGUCCCCUUCAUUGGCAGGCGGAUUCUUAACCACUGCACCACCAGGGAAGUCCCAGCUCUUUGUUUUUGACACUUGUUUUGUCUGCCUCACUUCUUCCUUUUCAAGUGUAAAUACCUAGUCUCCUCACUGGAUGGUAAGUGUUUUGAGGGUAAGGAUGCAGUUACACUAACCUUUGUCCUCCUCUAGUGCCUAGCACAUUGUCUUGCCCAUAGCUCCUGCUUAGUAAAUACUGAACAAUUGAAUAUGAUAGGUUUUCAAUGUGGUUCGUCCUUUGUUGAAAGAAUAUUAAAUGUAAGAGGAAGCUACAGAUAGAUGAGUGUUUGUAAUACAUAUACUUACAAAAGAGAGCUUUUGGUAACUUAGUUUCCUGGUGUCUCAGUGUUGUAAGAGUGAAGGGUACCAUCCCUUAAUAGUUUUAAAUAAAAACGAUUGACAGAAGAAAUUAAAAUAAUUGGUAGUAACACCACAGUCUUUAUCACGGGUCACGAUUAACCACAAGAUUCUGCUUGUAUCCUUUUUAUUCAUAAAGACUGAGGAAAUAAAAGCAUGCAUAUGAAAACACACAUUGAAGGUGCAAACUAGACUUUUAUUAAUUUGAGAGAAACACCUUGCUCAAUGUAUGUUUAUGAGCAGUUGUUUUAGCGUAAGUUCUGUGAGAAAUAGUACCUUCUCUCUUCUUGGAGUCAGUGCAGUACUUGUAUAUACCUGCACUUGAAUCUUGGUAAAAAUUACUUAUAUUAGGGUGAAUGUUGCUGUGUAGGGGGAAAAGGAAGUCAGUCCAUGUGAACCUCAUUCACAUGAAUUUCAUUACCAAAGUAGUAUCAUCAUAAUUUAUUGUGUGUUUUCUGUGUGCUGGGGCUUUACAAUCAUUGCUCAGUAAGGAAACUGAGGCUCAGAGAGUGUAAGUGACUUGCCCAAGGAUAUAAAUAGAAAAACGGUUCUAAGUCAAGACCGUUGCACACCAAGAUUCCAACACUGAAUCUAUCUGCUUCCUUGUCCACAGUCACUACUCUAAGCCAGCCCUCUUUUGCUUGAGUUCCUUGUUAGCCUCCUCACUGGUUCCCUCCAUUCUCCGCACAGUGGCCAUCCAUUCUCCUGAGUAGUCUUCUGACAGCCUAACUCAGGUCAUGUCAGUCCUCUGUUUAAAACUCUUUAAUGGCUUUUGGCCACAUUUAGAAUAAAAUCCAAAUUCAUUAGUGGGGCUCUUCAUGGCCUCAUUUUGUAUGUGUUUUUGAGGGAUGACAGAUAGUAAAAAAACUACAGGUUACACAGAGGUAAAAGUUUUUCUCUUUUGGUGCUCUGUCCAGUGCUUGGCAUAUAAUAGGUGGUUUGGCAAAUAUUUACUGAACAGUGAAUGAACAUGCCUCCCCCUGGGCUGCCUGUCUGAAGAUCUGUUCUAAGGACUGCAUUAUAUUGAGGUGAUAUGUUGUGUGACAGUGAACAUUGUCAAUGUCAGAUAUUUGCAAAUAAUGCUAAACUGGAGAAUGAAAAGCAAAGCAGAUCUCUAGAAUGAAUGGAAGUUAUAUCUGGUUUUGGAUUUCUGUUAUGUAUCACUGUAUCUGUUAUGAUCAUAUCUGAUUGUCUUGUGAUCAUUGCAUCUGGUGAAAGUUUUUCAGAGAGAAACUAUUUACUUGAAAAUGUGUGUCUAGCAUUAUAGACUUUAGAUUUGCUUAUUAUUUUUAAAACAUGUUUUGCCUGUAAAGUGCUAUGAUAGUAAUGUUUUGGGGACUUCCUGGUGGCGUGGUUAAGAAUCCGCUUUCCAAUGCAGGGGACAUGGGUUCGAUCCCUGGUCGGGGAACUAGAUCCCACAUGCAUGCCACAACUAAGAGUUUGCAUGCUGCAACUAAGGAGUCCUUCUGCCACAACUAAGACCUGGCGCAACCAAAAUAAGUAAAUUUGAAAAAAAAGAUAAUAAUGUUUUGGUGAUACAUGAUUCAAGCUAAAAUUAGCCAAAGAUAAGACCAUGAAUUUGUUUUGAAAUAACCUUCCUCAAUGUUUCUUAUGUUUCCUCAGUGUUGGGGAUCUGGGGACUUGGUAACCAUAUCAGCCUGUAAUUUAUCAAGUAGUACUACGAAUUAAAAUGCCUAAUGUUCAUGCAUUUCUCAAAAUAGAUUUCUGUGGUCAUUUAUUUUAGAGAUGAUAAAUGCCACUGAAUUGAGGUGUCAUGUAGUUCUGUAUAAUUGUAUUUUACUUCAACAUUAAUAACUUAUUUAGUUAUCAUCAUUCUUACCUGUUUCAUCAAAGCAUCUCAUGAAAAAUCAAGGAUGCCCUAAGAAGAAAACAUCUAAUGAAGUGCUGUUUUAGUUGGCUACAUUUAGUACCUGAAACUUUAUGUGAUUGCUGUCCUUGACAAUAGAGCCAUAAGUAUAAUUUUAUUUUCAAAAUUCUAUAAUAUAUUUUCUGGAGUUUAAUGGUUCCUUCUUAGGAGUUAAAGGAAAAGAGUGGUUUUAUUUGUUGUAUGUAUAAAUCAAGAAACGCUUGCAACUUUGAGUUUCUAUAGCAUAUUUUCUAAUCCUCACUUAAAGAGUUAGAGGCAGAGUGCUCCUUUUCUGGAAUUUUAACCUCUUAGAUGUCUAGAGGGGCUCCAUGUGACCAAAUUCAGUUUUCAGGGAAAAUCUACAGUUAGUUCCCAUGAUGUUCACAAUGAAUUACCUCUCAGAUUUUGUUAGUAGAUCUCAUUAGGGCCACAGCUUAAAAUAAAUCAGACCCACUCAUUUGCUGUGAUAAGACUAGAUUGAGCUCCUAUGAAAAAGUUAGGUUUGAAAAUACUUUUAAGACAUUAGACCGAUGAAUAUGUAGCAGCCAAAUAGAGACCUAAGAGAGAAUCCCAUUUCUUGAUUGGUCCGGUUCACCCUAACUUGGUAAGAAAACUUGAUAAUCUCUGUUUUGGAGUUCCAGGUUUGAUAAUGAAGAACCACUAAAGGAUUUUUAAAAAAUGCACUAAAGUAGAGGUGUGUUUUAAUUGCUUUUUACAUGUUUAUAAAUUAUACUGAAUAUAAGUGAUCACUCAAAGUAUUCAGUUCUGUCAGUACCACUCAUUAAAUUUUAUUUGAAAUCCUAAGAUAGGAUCUGAUUCUGUUCUGAUUUAUUUUUUUUCUUUUCCUUUCUAUUUUUUAAAUUAAUUUAUUUUUGGCUGUGUUGGGUCUUCGUUGCUGUGCGCGGGCUUCCUCUAGUUGCGGCGAGCGGGGGCUACUCUUCGUUGCAGUGCAUGGGCUUCUCCUUGCAGUGGCUUCUCUUGUUGUGGAGCACGGGCUUUAGUAGUUGUGGCUCACAGGCUCUAGAGCGCAGUCUCAGUAGUUGUGACACAUGGGCUCAGUUGCUCCGUGGCAUGUGGGAUCUUCCCAGACCAGGGAUUGAACCUGUGUCCCCUGCAUUGGCAGGCGGAUUCUUAUCUACUUCUUCUCUUCUUCCACCAGGGAAGUCCUGUCAUGACAUUUUGCAUGAAUCUUUUGCUUGUAUGAUAUCAAUAGUUAAUCUUAUUUAAAACCCUUGCAUUCUUAGAACAAAACCUGUUUAGUAGUAUUUAGUAAAUCUCUUGAGGUAUUGCUUUAAUUGUUUGAGUUUUAUCUAAGAUUUUCACAUCAUUAUUUGUAAACAAGAUUGUCAUAUAGUUUUCUUUUUUCAUUUUAUCUUAUCAAUUUAAGGACCUGUUUCCUCCACAGCACUUGGAGGUGAAUAUACCUGCCACAUUUUUGUUAGAAAUCUUUAAAUUUUCGUGUAAUGCUGUUGGGUUUUAGUGCUCUCGUGGGGGUAAAGAAGGGAUGAUUGUGUAACUUUUUGUUACAUUGGUCAGCGUCUUCUGUUAUGGAUUUGUUUCAUGUUUUCUUGUAUCAGUUUUGGUAUUUAACAUUUUACUAGCAUACUACUCAUUGAACUUAAGUUUUAAAAUUUAUUAGCAUGUAAAUGUGUAUGGUAUUCUCCAAUAAUUCUGAGCUCUUUUAUUUUGGCUCUUAUGAUUUCUUUCCCACUUCCAGCUUUGAGAUUUUUCUUUUCCCAUUUAAGUUUUAAAAUUUUAAUCAACUUUCUGAGGUAUAUUUGCCUACAGUAAAAUUCACUCAUUUUAAAGUAAUAAUUUGUGAGUUUUGGACAAAUACAUGCUAUUAUUGUGAGACUACAAUCCCAGUCAAGAAUAGGACAAUUCUUUCCAUCACUCCAAACAAUUCCCUUGUGCCCCUUUACAGUUAAUUUUCUCCUCUCACUCCUAGGCCCUUAGCAACCACUGAUUGCAUUUUGUCUCUCUCUCUAUAUAUAAUUUUGCUUUCUCUAGUUUUUCAUAUAACUGGAGCCAUACAGCAAUAGUCUUUUUUUUUUUUUUUUUGCGGUACGUGGGCCUCUCACUGUUGUGGCCUCUCCCGUUGCGGAGCACAGGCUCCGGACGUGCAGGCUCAGCGGCCAUGGCUCACGGGCCCAGCCGCUCUGCAGCAUGUGGGAUCCUCCCGGACCGGGGCACAAACCCGUGUCCCCUGCAUCGGCAGGCGGACUCUCAACCACUGCGCCACCAGAGAAGCCCAGCAAUAGUCUUUUGAUUCUGGCUUCUUUCACUUAGGAUAAUGUUUUUGAAAUCAUGUAUUUUGUUGGGUGUAUCAGAAGUUUCUUGUGUUUUUUUUUUUUCCCCCCUGCCUCAAGGCUGGCAGGAUCUUAGUUCCCCUACCAGGGAUUGAACCCAGGUCCUCAGUGAAAGCGCUGAGUCCUAACCACUGGACCUGCAGGAAAUUCCCCAGAAGUUUGUUCUUAAUUGCUGUGUGGAUAUAUCACAAUUUGUUUACCAUUCACCAGUUAGUUGAUGGACGCUGUUUCUCAUUUUUUUUUUUUUUUGGCUAUUAUAAAUAAAUCUGCUAUGAAUAUUCAAAUACAGGUCUUUCUCUGGACACAUGAUUUUAUUUCUCUUGUAUAAAACCUGACAGUGGGAAUAUUGGGUCAUAUUGUAAGCAUAUGUUGAAGUUUUAAAGAAACUGUCAAACUGUUCUUCAAAGCCUGUAGCAUUUUGCAUUCCCACCUGCAAUGUGUAAGUUCCAGUUGCUCCAUUCUCAUAGUGGAGAGUUUUAGUUGCUUCAUUUUCUAGCCAUUCUAGUGGUGUGUAAUGGCAUCUCAUUGUUGGUUUAAAUUUGUAUUUCCAUGGUGACCGAUUAUAUUGAGCAUCUUUACAUGUGUUGAAAUGCUAUAUAAAUAUCUAUUAGGUCAAGUUGAUUGAUAAUGUUCAGAUCGUUGGUGAUUUUUAAAAAUUCUAUCAAUUACUGAGAAAGGUGCGUUGAAGUUUCCAGCUUUGCAUGUUUCUCCUUUCAGUUCUGUGAGUAUUGAACCCCUUAUUAGGUAUAUACAUAUUUAAGAUUAUGUCCUUUUGAUGAAUCGACCCUUCCUUCAUUAUGUAAUAUCUCUCCUAAUAUUCCUUGUUCCAAAGUCUACUUUUGUUGUAGAGAUAUAGUAUAGUCUCCUUUUAUCUGUUCCAAGAUCCCCAGUGGAUGCCUGAAACCAUGGUAGUACCGAAACCUGUAUAUACUUUUUUUAAAAUGUUUUUUCCUAUACGUACAUACCCAUGAUAAAGUUUAUAAAUUAGGCACCGUAAGAGAUUAUUGUAAUAAAAGUUAUGUGAAUGUGGUCCCUCUCUCAAAAUACCUUAUUGUAUAAAUUUAAUGUUUUUUCCACCUUAGCUAAGCACUUACCAUUCCCUGUAGCUGUAACUUUUGCAGUUUGAGGUGUGAUGUCAAAAUGAGCAUGAAUUUCUUUUUCUUUCUGUACAAUUUCAAAAAUUCAUUCUUACUGUAGAUCUUAGCAACCUCAGCAUAUGAUUGCUUUUCUUAUGAAGUUGAAAACUUUCACCUUUUCACUUAAAGGAAGCAGUUUGCAGCUUGUCUUUGACGUGUCCGUAUUGCCAACAUCACUACUCCUGUGCUUUGGAGCUAUUAUUAAGUAAAAUAAGGGUUACUUAAAUACAAGCACUGUGAUACCUCGACAGAGCUAGAUGGCUGGCUAGUAAGUGACUAACAGGUGGAUACUAGAGCACACAUCUUUUUAAUAGUCUGUGUGAUGUAAUGGGAAGUUAUAAGGCGCUUAUAACUUCUUAUAAGUACCUUAAAUUAUAAGGCACUUACUUCUUCUGCAAGUUGAAGUUCCGUGGUGGUUUUAACAUGGAGGAUUGUUUGAGUUGCAUGCUGACCUAGCAACAUUUUUCAUGGGAUACCAUUUUUACUUGAGAGAAUAAUUGACAGAAAAACUGUUGUUAUUCAGAUUUGAAUAUUUGGCAACAUUUUCUCAAAAAUGAAGGAGCUGGGAGUAUUUGUUGCCAAUGAUAAAAUUUGAGUUUGACAAAUUACCACUAUUUAAAGACUUCUCUGAUGAGAUCAGUGGUGAUGUUAAAUAUGGAUUUUUGGUAUUGAAUAAUGAAGUGUAUCAAUGUUUUAGGAGUCACACAACACUAGUGAACUAUUUGCUGAGGAAAGAUUCAUGCAAAGUGCAAAGUAGACUGAUGGUUUUUAAUGUAACAGAGUACAAAAAGUUCAUUGGUAGGGUUUCAGAUUCCACACUGCCUGUAACCUUUAAGAAACUACCAUCUGUUGAGUUUUUUUUUAAUUAUUAUUUUAAUAUUUAUUUUUGGCUGUUUUGGGUCUUCGUUGCUGCGCGAGGGCUUUCUCUGGUUGCAGCAGCGGGGGCUACUCUUCAUUGUGGUGCGCGGACUUCUCAUUGUGGUGGCUUCUCUUGUUGCGGAGCACGGGCUGUAGGCAUGUGGGCUUCAGUAGUUGCAGCAUGUGGGCUCAGUAGUUGUGGCUUGCGGGCUCCAGAGCGCAGACUCAGUAGUUGUGGCACACGGGCUUAGUUGCUCCGCGACAUGUGGGGUCUUCCCGGACCAGGGCUUGAACCCGUGUCCCCUGCAUUGGCAGGUGGAUUCCUAACGACUGCGCCACCAGGGAAGUCCCCAUCUGUUGAGUUUUGUUGCAGUAUUGAAGAAUAUCCAGUUAUCUGAAAGGCUAUUAAAAUACUUCCCUUUCAGGGCUUCCUUGGUGGCUCAGUGGUUGAGAGUCCGCCUGCCGAUGCAGGGGACACGGGUUUGUGCCCCGGUCAGGGAAGAUCCCACAUGCCGCGGAGCAGCUGGGCCCGUGAGCCAUGGCCGCUGAGCUUGCGCGUCCAGAGCCGGUGCUCCGCAACGGGAGAGGCCACAACAGUGAGAGGCCCGCGUACCACACACACACACACACAAAAUUCCCCUUUCUUUCUUUCUUUUAUUUUAUUUUUGGCUGUGUCGGGUCUUAGUUGCGGCCCGCAGGAUCUUCAUUGAGGCAUGCGGGAUCUUUCUUUGUGGCGCACGGGCUUCUUUCUAGUUGCAGCCUGCGGGUUUUCUCUUCUCUAGUUGUGGCACACAGGCUCCAGGGCACGUGGGCUCUAGUUGAGGCGGGCGAGCUCAGUAAUUGUGGCGCGCGGCUUACUUGCCCUGCGGCACGUGGGAUCUUAGUUCCCUGACCAGGGAUCAAACCCACGUUCCCUGCACUGUAAGGCAGAUUCUUUACCACUGGAUCACCAGGGAAGUCCCAAUACUCCCCUUUUAAACUACAGAUUUGGGUGAGGCUGGAUCUUCUUCAUAUACUUCAACCAAAACAAAUGAUCACGUCAGAUUAAAUGCAGAAGUAGAUAUGAGAAUGCACUUCUGUUAAAGUAGGCAUUAAAGAUAUUUGCGAAAAUGUAAAACAGUGCCAUUCUUCUAUUUUUUGUUUGUCUUGGAAAAGUUAUGUUUCAUUAAAACAUGUGAUUUAUGUAAUAUGUAAUACUUAGUUUCAAAAUAAAUAUUUUUAACGUUCACGGUUUUAAUUCUAACAUAAAUAUCCAUAGAUAUAAUGUACAUAAACAAAAGUUUGAGAACAGCUAGCUACUUUAGACAUUAUGGACAUUAUUUUACAGUAGUACUGAUUGCAUUAUACUUAUUGUUGAUUAAAUCAUUGUUGUUUUUGAGUCUUAGUCCCUUCAAGUACGUUGCCCAAAAUUCUAGAAUUGAAACCAUGAGGAAAACAUGAAAAUGUUGAGAGCUACCACCCAAAGCUGUGGUCUCAAUCCUUUGAGAGUUAUCUCUUACCCCUAACUCUCUUGUAGCCCUCUUGUUCUUUGGUAUCUCGGAACUCUUGGGUAUCAGGGAUCCAGGUCAUAUUUUGAAGGGUACUUUCUGCUCUUCCCUCCUUCUCUGCCACAUCAAUUACCUGUGUUACUCCUGUAGUAUAGUUAUUGGCCUACAGUUUACAGUUGAGAGAUUGUUCUUCAGAGAUAUUUUAGGUAUCUUUUAAGUUUCAUAAUUUUAUUUAAGAUGGUUGGAAAUCUGCUGGUGGGAUUUUGUUCUUUACAUAUAUUAAGGCAAUCACGGUCUGGUGGGAAACUGAAUAAUAGGGGUUAGGAAAUCUGGAUUGUGGUCUUGAAUCUGCUUUUAACCAGCUAUAAAAUUUUUGUUCCCUUAGCUUCCUCAUCUGUGAAAGGCAGGUAGCAAUUACUCACCCUUACUCACACCUUACUCAUUCAGCAAAUGGUUGGUUGGUUGGUUGGUUGAUUUUAUGUGCUUGUUAGAAGAGAUGGAAAGAAGACUCGGGCAUGAAUCCUGCUCUCGAGUAACUUAGGGUCUAGUAGGAAAAGUAGUGUCAUUUUUGCAUUGCAUUUUGGGUAUUUACGAUGUAUCUUACUUUAAUCACUAGAAUAUAACUUUUUUGAAGGCAAAAUCUUAUUUUUAUACCCUUAAUAAUGCAUACCACCAGCAGAGCUUUGCAACUCUUAGGCACAAAAGCUAUUUCAAAACACAAAUAAUGAGGGACAGAACUAAUCUGUUAGGAGAUUGGAUUGUUUUAUAUGUUAUGAUUUCAAGGAUGUGAUUUUUUUUUAAUCAACCAGAGAUUUGAUUAUAUAAGUGUAAUGUCAGACAGUGUUCUUCCCUGCCAGUUAAACCAGGAUUCAGUCCUUUGCUAAGAAGUAUAUAAACAAAGACAUCUUACCUGUGUAGUAUCAUCAUAGGGCACUGUAGUUUAUUAUAACAAAGCAAGAAUCCACCACAACCUGUUUAACAUAUGACUAGAAACAUGGCUGAUCGCAUAGCUAAAUGAGAUCUAGACCACAUUGAUAGCAGUCUCUUCAGGAUUGGUUUCCAAAAAUCUUACUCUUUUCCUUUUACUUUAUUGCCAAAACCCUUUCCAAGGUUCUGUCCUUUUGGAACAUUCUGUGCUUUGUCUCCUUUCUUAUUCUAUUUUUCUUGAAUGUUACAGUACGGGAAUCAGCAAACUGUGACCUGCAAGCCAAAUCUGACCCAUCGCCUGUUUUUGUAAAGUUUUCUUUUAACACAGCCAUACCCAUUUUGUUUACAUGUCAUCUAUGGCUUCUUUCAUGCUGUAAUGGCAGAGUAGAGUAGUUGCAGCAGAGACUGUAUGGCUUGUAACACCUAAAAUAUUUACUAUCUGGCCCUUUACAGAAAAAGUUUGCUGGCUUCUGCUUCUCAAACUAUUUCUGGUAAUGUACCAGUUCCUCCUUCUUCCCUCCUCCCAGUUUGUCACAGACAGAUUUUUUUGUUAAAAUACACUAAAAAUAAAUUACCAGAUUAAAAAACCUUACAAAACGCAUGCCCCAAAUUUUCAUUAUUAGGGUCAACAGGCAUAAAAUUACCAAAUUGCUGUAAAGGUUUUGAAACAUUUAUUGUUUUUCUUUUUUUUUUUUUAACUUAACUUGAAGUGGAUUGGUUACCAAUGGUUCGUGGACCAACACCAGGGCUGAACCACCCUUUGAAUAGUCCUGUUUUAGUAGUCAGUGUAUUACUAGAAAACUUUGACAUUUAUACAAUUUAUUCACCCCUUUCAUGCAAGUAUUUUUGUAGACCAGGUAUAUUAUAUGUUAUAUACACUUGUGGUUAAGUAUGAUGAAUAUAUAUCAUGAAAGUGAUGUGACUCUUCCAGUGGUGAGCCAGAUCCUUCCUAGGUCAUUUGAUGUAUACUUUUAUCACCUCAGUGAUUGAGAGGACUUUUGGACUCUAUAUGUUUUUCUAUUAUGUUGAAACUUAACAUAGCUUCCUUAUUAAUAGGGACAAUAUGACUGUAGGCAUAAGUGUUCAAAAAAUUCUUUUAAAUCAGUGGUUCUUAAAGAAUUUCUGUUUCAGGUACUGUUGGUGGGUUUUUUUUUUUUUGAAGAAUUUAGUAGGUUCUUUUUUUUAAAUUUUUUUAAAAUUUAUUUAUUUAUUUUUGGCUGAGUUGAAUACUUAAAGAAUUUCUGUUUCAGGUACUGUUGGUGGGUUUUUUUUUUUUUAAGAAUUUAGUAGGUUCUUUUUUUUUAAUUUUUUAAAAAUUUAUUUAUUUAUUUUUGGCUGAGUUGGGUCUUUGUUGCUGCACGUGGGCUUUCUCUAGUUGCGGUGAGUGGGGGCUACUCUUCCUUGUGCGCGGGCUUCUCAUUUGCAGUGGCUUCUCUUGUUGUGGAGCAUGGGCUCUAGGCGCAUGGGCUUCGGUAGUUGUGGCAUGUGGGCUCAGUAGUUGUGGCUCACAGGCUCUAGAGCGCAGGUUCAGUAGUUGUGGCGCACGGGCUUAGCGGCUCCACGGCAUGUUGGAUCUUCCAGGACCAGGGCUCGAACCAGUGUCCCCUGCAUUGGCAGGCCAAUUCUUAACCACUGUGCCACCACUGUGCCCUGUUUUGUUUUUUUUGUUUUUGUUUUUUUGUUUUUUUUUGGCGGGAGGGCAAAGUAAACUACAUACACACACACAAUAUUAUAUAUAGUAUGUAUACUAUACUAUCACAAUUUUAACCUCAGUUACUGCUUUAUAAAAACAUUUAGAUUCGGCAGUCUUUAUCUUAUUUAGGUGACAUGUUAGCACUUAUCUUUAUAUUUUGCUUGUAGCACGCUAUAAAUUUAUACAUAAAAUCUCCCCAUUGGAAAGUUGUUUUACUGUGUCUCUGAGAAACAUGAUGAGACAGGAUAAAAAAUGAAAAUAUAACUCUGUACUAUAAGGAUCCUAAAUACAGUUAAUAAAUAAGGGGAACACUAAUAGAUUCUAAAAAGAAACUGGCUCUAAGAAGUUAAACAAAUUCACCAUAUGACCCUACAGUUUCACUCCUACUAGUUUGACUGCCUGUAAGUUCUUGGCUCACGUGUGGUUUCCUCUGUUGUCUUCUGCCAUGUAGCAUUGCUGUCAAAGACUAACGAUAUUCUGAUAGUCUUAACAUUACAAGUGACUUGGAUUUUUUGCCAGGAUGCCGGGACUUCUGCUUUUUAAAAGAUCCAGUAAUUAUACUAGACUGUUUCUCAGAGUUGGUCAUUAGGGAUUGACUGAUUCAAUAUAGAAUAUUUUUUCGUGAAAUUUUUCUUAAAUUGUGAUUUUUUAGUAUUUCUUACGUCGCAUUGCUUUGAUUUUUUUCCCCCCUUUGGGGCAUUAUUGGCAUUAUUAUGUCAUUUUCUUAAAUUUUUAAAGCUGAUUUUGAAAUAUAAAAUUAUAUUCAUCUGUUUUAAAGUAUUGUUUUUCUAGUAUGCUUUCAUUGUUUUUAGGAAUACUGUCUGUACCCCUCAUCCCCCUUUUUUGUUUUUUUGUUUUCUUUAUAAUGACUUUUAGGUGUAACCACACUGCUUUCCCGUGCUCAUUUCAAAGUUAGAUUAAUUUUUCUAAACUAUUAGAAAAAAGAGGUGAGUCGUGAAAGUUUUUCUAGCUUCAUGGUUCUAGAGCUCCCUCUUCUGAGUUUUUUUGUGGGAACCUUGUACUUUCAUACAUUUCCUGGCCCUUUCUCCUCCCAGUUCCGUAUCUGGGCUGCCUUCUUGCUUUACCGCUCUUGUCUCUAUUCUGCUUAAUUUGGAUUCUGUUCCCAGUAGUUUUUCCUCAGCACAAGACUGUUCUGAAAGGAGCUUCAGAUGGUUAACUUUGAGUUUAUAGGGCCCAGAUUACUUCAUCCCCUUCAGACUGCCAGUCUCCUUGUGCUCACGCAUAAGUUGAAAUGUGCAAAACUCCUUUCCUUUUCAACUGCUGUUCUCAGUUUGGCCCAGUGCACUUUCCAGUGAGUGUCUGUUGUCUCUUCGGGGUUUUCCUAAGUUCAGGUUCAUCAAAUACCCUGUUGCUUCCCUCUGCUUUUUCUCACACAGAUGGUAGUUCCACAUGAGUCUUUAGCAGUCAGUAGUUUGUCCCCACCCAGUUGUAUUCUGGGUUUCAUGAGAAUACCUUAUCACUUAGUAUUGUUGUAAAUGCAGGCUUUCAGUUUUGCUAUCCAGAUUGCUCCAUGUGUUUUUUAUGGGAGAAUUCAGGAGGAUUCAAAAACAACUGUGCCCUGGCUGCUGCCAUCAUUCUAGAAUCCUGUCCCAUAAUUAAAUUUCUUUAAUUUUUAUUUUUAAGCAGAAAAGUGGCAAAAAUUGAGGGCAGUAGUGUUUUGGUCUUGUUUUUUAUUUUCAAAUGUGUGUGUAGUCUGUUUAACACAAUAUGGUGGAAAAGCUCUGGUGUGAUACACUUACUUGAUCCAUUAGGGGUACCAAACAGAUUUCAAUUAUUUCACUUUGAAAACAUGAUUUAGUCUGUGUUUACAUGAUUAGUAAAAUUCAUAAUGUGUUAUUGGACUAUUAUUUGGUUUGAGAACAGUUAGAAAAUUUAAAUAAUGCGUGUUUUGUAAUUGUUUAAAACGGUAGAGAGGGAGUUGAAUGGAGGAGAAAGUAAGUUAGAAAAUUUUUCUGUUUUGUACCUACAUCUUUUUUUUUUAAUAAAUUUUUAUUUAUUUUUGGCUGCUCUGGGUCUUCGUAGCUGUGCAGUCUUUCUCUAGUUGGGGCGAGUGGGGGCUACUCUUUGUUUUGGUGCACGGGCUUCUCACUGCGGUGGCUUCUUUUGUUGCACAGCAUGUGCUCUAGGCAUGUGGGCUUCAGUAGUUGUGGCACGCAGGCUCAGUAGUUGUGGCUCACGGGCUCUAGAGCGCAGGCUCAGUAGUUGUGGUGCAUGGGCUUAGAUGCUCCGCGGCAUGUGGGAUCUUCCCGGCCCAGGGCUCGAACACGUGUCCCCUGCAUUGGAAGGCGGAUUCUUAACCACUGUGCCACCAGGGAAGCCCUGUACCUACAUCUUAAUAGUGAUAACUUUAAAUGAGUCCUUGGAUGGUAGUGUACAGGUGGUUAGUUUACUGUUAACCAUAUUUAUUUAUUUAUGUUCCUUAGUAGUCUGGCCUUAAUAUUUGCUAACAAAUGAUCUUUAGCAAAGUACUUAUGAUCCAUUAUUUGGGAUAUAUUUGUUCUAGAAUUACUCUCUUUGGAAUUGACAUCAGUAUCUGAUCUUUAAAUACCUAGGUUUAUUUCACUACUGCUCCAAGGAGGACAGUUUACUUCAUCUACUUUUACUUUGUGUGUCUUGUGAAUUAGUAUAUCUUCAGCUAUGGUUAACCAAAAAAAUCCUGAUUUGGCUGACUUAAACAGUAAGAAUUUGUUUAAUUCUUAUGGACAGGAAUUUUUAUCUAUUAGGCUCAUUGCUGUAUCUCUAGUCAGUGCUUAGGAAAUAUCUGAAUAAAUGGAAAUAUCUAAAAUAUCUUAAAUAAAUAGAUUAAAAUGUUAUUUCUUCAGCAGUGGUCAGGCAGCUAGCUCAUUGAUAGUUUCAAGGGGUCGUGUUCUUUGCCUUCUUCUGUUCUGCUCUCUUCAGUGUGUUUGUCUCAUCUGUAGGUUUGCUGUGCUACUAUUUGCAAGAUGGCUGCAGCAUUUCCUAGACAUUACAUCUCAAGACCACAUCCAGAGGCAGAAAAAAGAAACUUCUCUGCCUUGUGGUGUGUCCUUUUUUUUUUUUUUUUCCUGGUACAAGAGAAACCUUUUCCCCUUAUCUCAUUGGUCAGAAUUGCAUCAAACGCCUAAGCCAGAUCACUGCCAAGGGGACUGGAAUCCCCAGGAUUUUCUUAGGUCUGUGCUGUCCAGUAAGGUAGCCACUAGCUGCACAUGGCUAUUUAAAUUUAAAUUCAUUAAAAUAAAAUUACAGUUUCAGGUCCUCAGUCGCACUCACCACUUUUCAAGUGCUGACUUAUUGGACAGUGCAGAUAUAGAAUGUUUUCAUCAUCACAGAAAGUUCUGUUAGACAGUGCUGGAUUACAUUAAUCAUGAGUCACCCUUUGGGCCUUUCAGAAUUCCACUCACUCUUAAGACUGGAAUUCUCUCAGCUGCCUUCCAGGGACAUCUAUGUGGUGGAUAGGCACAGUAUCUGACAAUGAUAACAUCCUGGUGUGGCUCUUGGGCUUCAGGUACACCUCCACUCCUUGGAGGAGUGACAUAUUUUCUCCAUGUAUGAAAAAGAGUAAGGUUGUUUUACUGCUGGAAAGAAGACAGCACAUUUCUGAAGCAAGUAUUAUUUUACUUGAGACCAAUAACUUUUUUUGAAAAUAAAGCCUUGGACUUUCCUCGUGGCACAGUGGUUAAGAAUCUGCCUGCCAAUGCAGGGAACACAGGUUCAAGCCCUGGUUUGGGAAGAUCCCACAUGUCGCAGAGCAACUAUGCCCAUGUGCCACAACUGCUGAAGCCCGCGUGCCUAGAGCCCAUGCUCCGCAACAAGAGAAGCCACCGCAAUGAGAAGCCCGCGCACUGCAACGAAGAGUAGCUUCUGCUCGCCACAACUAGAGAAAACCCGGGCACAGCAACAAAGACCCAAUGCAGCCAAAAAUAAAUUUUAAAAAAAUUUAUAGAAAAAGAAAAUAAAGCUUUUAAGUCAUAAUGCUAAAUAGCAGGGACCUAUGAUGUACUUGAUAAAAAUUUGUUUAUAUAUGUUUGCCAGUUUCUAGUUGGGUGGUUGAAAAAUACCAUUAAUCUGUAUUAUUUCUGUUCAUUUAUUGUGCUAUCUGGAAGCUCUUCUACUGGGAAAGUCUACUUCAUAAGUUAUUAGAAUCAGAAGUUGAGAAGCUGUGGAGUACCCAAAAGGUGCGAAGUUAAGUUGUUAGGCCAUAAAUGCCUAUUAAGUUUGGACCUAACAGACUAUUAGGCAUUCCUUUUGGCCUAGGGCGUGCCAUGAGGAAGUGACCUACAUUCUAAGAGAGCAGUGACCUGAGAAGGUUUAGGAACCUCUGGUGUGGUCUAAAUUUUUUUGGUGACUUGAAUUUUGGACUUCCAGUGUGUUAAGAAGUUGUUCAAGAAAAAAGCAAGGGAGAAAGGCCAGGGAAUUACAAACAGCACUGUGGAGGAGAAGGCAGUAUGUGGUUCUGGUUUUGAGUCUUAGUUCUUUGGCUAACUUUAUGAUGCCUGAGAAAUUAACUUUUCUAGACCUACUUGAUCAUUAAUAAAAAAGUAAUGAUAAUACUGCAUGAGGUUUAAAUGAGAUAGAUAAAUAUGCUUUAUAGAAGUUAAAAUCUCUAUACAGGUGUGUGGUAGCCUGAAUAAUGGCCCCUCAAAGAUGUCCAUAUCCUAAUUUCUGUUACUUGUGAAUAUGGUAAAAAGAGAUUUUGCAGGUGUAAUUAAGUUAAGGAUCUUGGGAUGGGAGAAUGAGCCUGGAUUAUCCAGGUGGGCCCAAUAUAAUCACAAGGGUCCUUAGAAAAGGGAGGCAGGAGAUCAGAGUGCAUAGUAGAUUUGAUGAUGGAAGCCAGAGGUUGGAGUGAUGUGAUGAAGAGUAGGUGACCUAAAGAGUACAGGCAGGCCUCUAGAAGCUGAAGAAGGCAAGGAAACUAAUUUUCCCCUCAGAGCCUCCAGAAGGAACCAGCCCUGCCAGCACCUUGAUUUUUAGCCCCGUAAGGCUUGUUGUAGGUUUAUGACCUCUAGAAUAAGUUUGUGUUGUUUUAAGUCACUUAGUUUGUGGUAGUUUGUUACAGGAGUAAUAGAAAACUAAAAUAGGGUAUUACUCAAGUUGAAACGGGGAAAUUUUCUUUAAGAAACCAUUAGUUCAUUAUCCAACAUUCUUUUUCAUAGUGUGAAGUCUGGAAUAGCAGCAGUUGGCUUUUUAGACUUCCCUGCACUAUGGCAUAAACUUCCAUGGUGUGGGCAUGUUGGUGAUUUCCUUUGGCCUUAACACUCAGGUGGCUCUAGAGACUGAGUAAGUAAGUAGAUUUGAAAGGGGCAGUGGGGAGGACUCAUUAGCCUCUGGUACAUCUGAGAUAAAGAGUGUCUCCAGAAGGCUUUAAUUUAAUGGAAAAGGUUCUAAGAACUGAGUUCCCUUGGUAGCUUCUAGAGCUGAUCCUUUACUGAUCAUCCAUCAUAUUUCCAAAUCUAGCUUGGUCCAGCAACUUACUUUAGAACAGUUUCUCCAAGCUUAAUAUACUUUAAGUUUGCACACCAGAGGGUAGUAUUUCAGAACCUCUCUGAGUGCAAACUUGGGGUUUUGCAUGGCCUGGUGAUUCAGCUGAGGGAAGCCUCUGACCAGCAUCUGCCUAAAUGUAUCUGUUACACUGUUAGGAAUGGUUAUUUUUACUGAAUCCUUGUCCACAUUUUUUCAGUCUUAACUUUUCCAAUGAAAAUAUUUUACACUAGAGUUAUGGAUUUAUAAAGCAGAGGCUAUCAUAAAGAAGUGGUGAGGCUUGAGGACAUGAAAACUUUAGGGGGAGGGUAUGUGUGAGAAGAUUAGGAGCCUAUAACCCAGAGUUGUUUUCAGGAAUCUCAGCUAAAUAGGAUUUGCCCAGUCCUAAAAGGUAUAGACCACAUGUAUUACUCACAGCUAACUAGAAUGCCUGGGACAAAGCCAGACAUUUUCUUGGAGAUACUCUCAGAUGGCACAUGCAAAAAUCACAGAAUAUGUUGGUCGCUGUUUUUUAGAGCAGCUUUGAUUUUCUAAGUAAAACUCAUGAUUUUUUAAACAGUUACCGUUGUAAACAGACCACCCAUUUCAUCUGCCUCUGUGGUGACCCAUUAAUCCAUUAGUAGCUACUUAAACAAUAGUUUAGGAAAUGUUCUGCCAGUUGGCUACAACUUUGUAGAAGUUGGUACAAAUUACAUGAAUUUUUUUACCUUUAGAAAACUGACUUAGAUGGUUUGAUAUACAAGAAAGCUUUUUAGAGUUGAUGAUCCCAUCUCUGGUAACUUUGUUAGAGGGAAGGGAGAGUAUUGCGGGGGUGGUAUAUGUAAGUUUAAUUCUACUUUCAUUAAUGUAAAAAUAUUUACAUACACUAAUCAAGUUUGCAUUACAUCCUGGGCCCCGAAAGAUGGUUAUAAAUAAAUAAAUAAUUGAAUGUCAUACAGACCAUCUCCAGCAUGCUCAUUUUUUUGUCAUUGGUGUUAUAUAUCACAGAGGUGAUAAAGAAUAGUUUAUAUGCAGAUUUUUUUGGAAUUCUUUUCCUGACUGUUUGCUUACUUUCUUCAUUAUUUCCUUAUUCUUUAGAUAUAAUAAGAUAUGCUACAAGAGCAGUAUCUUAAAAUACCUGUGAAAAACCUAGCCUUUCCCUUUGUAGCCUUCUGGGUUAAAGGUUGAUGUUUGGAAAUGAAACCAUUAGAAAGUAGUUAUAAAAAUUAUAAAUUUGGCUUCCUUUUAUCUUAAAUAUAUAGAUUAAUUCCACAACUAAUCUGUAUGUGAGAUACGCAGAUGAUUAAAGUAGUAUAGCAAUUCUAAAAUAAUACUUGUUAAGCUAGCUUACUUGGGUGGGGGGAGUGGGGGCAGGUAAAUUAGUUAAACUCUUGCCAUUCUCUCAAUGGUACCACUACUCUCAGUCAUUCAGACUGGACAAGAAGUAGCAGUGCUCAUGUCCCACCUUCCUUGCGCCCCUCCUGUUGAGAGAAUUUAAUUUGAGGUUCUGUGCAUAUGACAAUAAUUCUAGACCCAUAUGCAUCCCUGUAGUCCUCAGCCCGCUCCAGGGUUUUAGGAUCCAGUGGCUGUGGUUUGGCCUGUUUUCUGAGACUCUUUCCUUGAGAUUUACGUCCUGAUCCUGGUAUAUUAGAAAGAAGCCAUUGGAGAAAAUGAGGUUAGACAUUGCAAGUACGACUUUGCUUACAGUACCAACUAGAACAGCCUUGAGUUUCUCUGUUCUUUAAUUGUUCCUUCUCUCUAAUGGAUUCUGGCUGUUCUUUUCAUCAGGAGGUGGUUUAUAGUCUAGGUCAGAAUCUACUCUUGUACACAUAUACCACCUUCUCAUCCCACUCCAGUGUUGGUGAACAAGACUAGUUUUGUUUUGUUGCAUAAUGCCGUACUUCUCCUUUUCUGUCACCAGAUGUUCAACUGCUUAUAAAAAUUUUGACUCUGUCCCAAUAGAGGUUUUCCCCUUUUUCUGAGCAGUUCAGGUGAACACAGGUUCAUAUUCACUGCGGCAUUUAUAAAGUAGGGGUACACACCCAAGCUGAUUAUGGUAUGUAGGUGCAGAAGAACAGGAAAACCAGUGCUUUGCUAUGGAACAUUAAUUAUGAAUAUUGGCAUUAUUUUUUAAAUUAGUUUAAAAGCCGGUCAAAUGGCUGCUUUAAAAAUAAACCUAAUCUGUAUUUCCAGCCUCCCCAGAGAGACUAACUAGUUCCCCCUGCCUCUUUUUUCUUGUUUUCUUUCUCUCUGGUUAGUGUUGAAAUCAGUGUUAUAUCUUUUUUUUUUUUUUGGUGGAGGAUCUCCUUUGUUUAUUUGAAUCUCCUUUUUCCUGAUGUUUGGUUCUGUGCAUAGUGAAGCUUGAGGCUGUUGGUGUGGGUAUUCAGUGACAUAAAACUUCAAUUUAUUUGUGUUUAUAAGUCAGAAUCCUAUUUCACUUAUUCCUGAGCCUGAGGGGAAAUCUUAGAAAAGUCCAUUGAGAUUUAAGUUAUAAACACACUGCUUAAUUACUGCACAAGCUUAACCACAGAGUUUGCUGUCACAAUAUAAAUACCCAGAUGAAAGCCUGAGAAAAGCCUCCACACUUCCACCCCCGUGAACUCUGGUGGGUUUUCUAAUCCUGCCCUCUGUCUGGCAAACAAAAAUAUGAAAUCCAAUCCAAGAGCUUCUGUGAAGCUGGUUUAGAAGCCUUAUAAAUGGCUCAACUAAAUGCUCAAAACUCUACUACUUCCUUUCUGUUUUGCCAGCUUUCUCCAAGCCAUUUUGUUUUAUUUUUUAAAAAAUGGUUAUUUUUCUUGAAAACCUACUGUAUUUUACCUAAUUUGCUGCAAGGAUUUUAAAAAAAUAUUUACUUAUUUAUUUGGUUGCAUUGGGUCUUAGUUGCAGCAGGCAGGCUCCUUAGUUGUGGCUUGUGGGCUCCUUAGUUGUGGCUCACUGGCUCCUUAGUUGUGGCACAUGAACUCUUAGUUGUGGCAUGCAUAUGGGAUCUAGUUCCCGGACCAGCGAUCGAACCCCAGCACACUGCACUGGGAUUGCGAAGUCUUAACCACUGCACCACCAGGGAAGUCCCUGCUGCAAGUUUUUGAAACUCCAGUUUUAAAACUUGUUUCUCUUUUUGGUCUUAAGUAGCAUACACUAAAUAAGCAAAACAGCCCUGGCUCACUAUUUUACUCUCCAAAGCCUUUAUAGGAUAAAACAUGUUCAGUCUUUAGGAUUCUCACACAACUACUUUAAAGUGAAAUAGCAGCUGUGUGAGUAAACCAGAAACUAGGAUAUUUCAUCAUCUUAAAACAGUAAAUUUUUUUUAAAAAUAAAUUUAUUAUUUAUUUGUUUUUGGCUGUGUUGGGUCUUCAUUGCUGCGUGCAGGCUUUCUCUAGUUGCGGCAAGCGGGGGCUUCUCUUGUUGCGGAGCUCGGGCUCUAGGUGCGUGGGCUUCAGUAGUUGUGGCACGUGGGCUAGUUGCUCUGUGGCAUGUAGGAUCUUCCCGGACCAGGGAUUGAACAUGGGUUCAAUCCCUGCAUUGGCAGGCGGAUUCUUAACCACUGAGCCACCAGGGAAGUCCCAAAACAGUAAAAUUUUGCUUUUACUAUAAUUAAAAAUCUAUUUGAAGAGCUCGACAUAUACCUUUGAUAAAAUUAAGUGACACACUAAACAAAUGUGCCAUACUGUGCAUGCGUUUGAAAUGAAUUCAUGAAAUUAGAAAUUUUUUCACUUCAAAUGCUUUAGUUUUUUGUUUUUAAAUUUUUAUUAGAGUAUAGUUGAUUUACAAUGUUGCAUUAGUUUCUGCUGUACAGCAAAGUGUAUCAGUUAACACAUUUAUAUAUCCACUCUUUUUUAGAUUAUUUUCCCAUAUAGGUCAUUACAAAGUAUUGAGAAGAGUUCCCUGUGCUGUACAGUAGACCGUUAUUAGUUAUCUAUUUUAUGUAUAGUGUGUAUAUGUCAAUCCCACUUUCCCAGUUUAUCCCCCACCCCCUCCGCUUUCCCCCCUAGUAACCAUAAGUUUGUUUUCUACAUCUGUGACUCUAUUUCUGUUCUGUAAAUAAGUUCAUUUGUUCUGUUUUUUUUAGAUUCCACAUAUAAGCAAUAUAUGAUAUUAGUCUCUAUCUGACUUAACUUCACUCAGUAUGACAAUCGCUAGGUCCAUCCAUGUUGCUGCAAAUGGCGUUAUGAAAUUAUAAAAUUAUUUUAUCAGUCCCCUUAGUGUGGCCCUACUUUUCAGUUUUUCAGUCAUGUAAAAUAUUUACUGAACUCCAGUUAUGUGCCAGGCACUGUUGUAGGUGGUAGGGUUACAGCAGUGACCAAGGUGUCAAAGCCCCUGCUCUAGUGGAGUUUACUGUCUCAUGGGGAGCAGUAAACAAGUAAAGAAGGUACCAGGAAGGAAUUCUAAGCAGAGCAUGAAUAGAGAAUGAUAUAUAGUGAUUGGGAUGGCCCUGAAAUUGGGUGGGCAGGAAGUGCCUGUCUGAGAAGGUGACAUUUAAGCUGAUAUCUUAUUAGCAAGAGCCAGCCAUGCAAAGAUCAGAGGCAGCCAUAUUCUAAGCAGAGGGCCUAGUCCUACGGUGGAAAUGAGUUGGGUAUUCAAAACAGAAAUAUGGUCGCUGAGGCUGAAAGUGUUUGUGUAUAGCAUGGGGUGAGGGAGGGGAUGUUUUUAGGGAAUAAGGGUAAGUUUGAUGUCAGGUAGGCAGACAGGAGCUAGGAUUUUAUUGGUACAGUGAGAUGCCAUUGGAGGAUUUUAACAGAGGCAUAAAGAAUGGAAGUAAGACCAGUUUGGAGGCCAUUGCAGUAGUUUAGGGUAGAGAUGGUGGUGACUUGAAUUAGGAUGCUUAUAUUGGAGAUUGAACUGGAUUUGGGAUAGGUUUUGGAGGUACGGUUGAUUUACUUGUGUUGUAGAUUUUGACCUGAGUACCAGGAUGGCUGGUGUCUUUACUGAUAUGGUAAAACGGGGGGAAGAGCAGCUUUUUGGGAAAAAUCAAGAGUUUCUGUUUUGUCCAUUUUAAGCUCAAGAUACCUAUUAUUAGAUAGGCAACUGGAGAUCUCAAAUUAGCAAUUGAAUAUUGCUAAUUUGAACUCAGGAGUUCCCAGGAGAGGCCAGGUCUAUGGGUAUAGAUUUAGGAUUAAGCAGUAGAGAGCAGGUACUAUUGAAAACUGUUGGACUUUAUAAAUCAUGAGGGCAAUCGUGUAGAUUGAGAAGAGGAGAAGACCUAGUACUGCCGACUAAAAACAAAAAACAAAAAACGCACAACGUGAGAGUUGUGAGUUAAGUUUUAUUUGGAGCAAAAUGAGGACUGUAGCCCGGGAGACAGAAUUUCAGAUAGCUCUGAGAAACUGCUCCAUGCUCCAAAAAGGUAGGGGAGAAGGUCGGUAUAUAUGUGAUUUUGGUGAAGGGUGUAGUACAUGUAAUCAAGCACAUAGUUGUGGAGAAGUUUUCUGGUAGUCACGAGGAGCAGAUGCCACCAUGAAGGAUUUUAGUGCUUUUCUAGAUAUGAGGAGAUGCAAGAAUUGGGCUCCUAAAAUAGUCUCCUGAAAAUACCUGUUUGAAGACCUGUUCUGCCGGUUUUUCGCAGAGCACAGAGGGCCUCAUUUCUGAUCUCUGCCCUGAACUCCUUUCAGGGGUUGGUUGUUGAAGGUCAGCAGCUGCAGCGGCUCAUAAUUUAAUCCCUGUAGAGGUAAAUGGCCAGUGCCAAUUUGUAGGUGACCCUGGGGACUUCAGGAGAAAGAGCCAGCAAAGGUGACUGAGGAGGAAUGACCAUUGAGGUGGGAGGAAGCCAGUGGAUUGUGGCAUCAGAGAAACCAAAAGUUGAAAGUUUCAAGAAGGAGGCCUAGAAACCAACAUGCUACUCUGAGAUCAAGUUAAAUAAGAACGACAGAGACAUUGGUUUUGAGAAUCACUCAUGAUCUUGACAACAGCAUUCUCAGUGGAGUCAAGGAGAGAAUAGAUGUGAGGAAGGAGACAGUGAUUAUACACAACUCUUGAAUCACAAAGGAUUAUAUCAAGAGUAGAUAUAACAGGUAAUUAUGUUUUCUAAGAGAGAACAGGGAUAGCAAACAUAUACUGUGUUCCUAAUGCGAAUCAACAGAAAUAUCACUAUAUAAUUUAUACAUGUGUAUCCGCCACCUGGGGACCCAGACACAGAUUAGAACUCUCAUGGUGUGAAUGCUAUUGAAUGGAGCACCGGCACAGUGGUCCUUCAUGUAGCUGCACUCCUGGGGAUGUGCUAAGGAACUCACUCUACUAGUUUGAGGCUGUAAUUCAAUGUAUUUCACACUAGAAAUAGUGCAGAAUGCAUAGUUGGAAGGGGUGUGUGUGUGUGUGUGUGUGUGUGUGUGUGUGUGUGUGUGUGUGUGUGUACUGCCUCCUGCAGCUUCCAGAUCACUGCUCAGGUCCUGUUUUGCAUUUUAAAAAAUGCCUUCUUGGUGUUUUUUCCAUUAACUGAAUGUUUGUUAGAGCUCUGUCUUUAAUACUAUAUUUUUUCUUUUCCAGUAUUUUUGAAAAAUAAUUUGUUCAGGGACCUUUUUACAUAGGAACAUCUUCUAAGCUAUUGGUAAGGUUCCCCCCACUCUCUGUAACUUGGAGAGUAGUGUAAUGCUGUGCCACUAUCUUAGGUUGAGGAACAAGAGUUUCUGAUAUUUGUUUGUAGAUGUCUUUAACUUUGUGGUGCCCGUUGGCAUUAUUACUUUCAUCAAUCAAUUAGACCAUCAGAGAACUUUUAUGACUAUUUUCUCUUAUUACUCUACCUAAAAAGUAUCAACUUCUUGUGUGUGCUUCUGACCCAUCAUUUCAAAAAUUGAGCUAUUCUUUUCUGUUUGCCAUCACAGCUUAUAGCUGCACUUUUAUUUUCUAUCUGUACUGAGAUAGUCCAACAGAAGAGAUACAAGACAGUCUGUGUUGGUGAUCAAAAUAAAUUCAGCCUGCAGAUCCUUAGAUUUGCUAUUCCAGAUAGUAAGCUAGUAUUGUGGUGUGAAAGAAGCUUAGAAUGUAAUAGUUAUUAUGUCUUAUUUUGCCUUAAAUCCCUAACAGUACUGGUGCACAUUUAAAUGUGCAAGCCAGUAGUUCUGUGAUUCAGGCUAUUGAUUAGUAGUAAUAGGAGAAAGAUAAGUUAUGUUGAUGCUUAUUUUGCUUUGAAGAAAGAAGUUGUAAUUGCGAGGUAGUCAGAUACUGAGACUGUCUAACGGAAGGAAAAUUCAGUUAUCACUCUUGUGUCUGACCUUUCACUUUCCAAACUCAGAAACUGAAUAGAUUUGGAUAACAAAGCGUAGUUGUUUCUGUAACAUUGGGCUAAUUGUAUAAAGCACAGACUGGGACUUGCCCAGUUAACACAUUUUGUUUCAUAUUCCAGAACUUCUGACUUAUACAGUCAAGUAAUUUAACCUAAUUCACAUGAAGGAACAAACUGAGGCAGUUUUCUCUUUUCACUCUUCUAAGGAAAAUAUGUAACUUAGCCUUUUAUUUUCCAUCCUCUUACAACAUGAAGGUUUCAGAAAUCUAUAAUAAUGAAAAACUGAGUUGCAGGAAGGAGACAACCCAGAUGUUUUGCAUAUAAGUAUUCUUUUCACUUAAAAGUGCAUAGCAGAGGGCUUCCCUGGUGGUGCAGUGGUGAGAGUCCGCCUGCCAAUGCAGGGGACGCGCGUUCGUGCCCUGGUCCGGGGAGAUCCCACAUGCCGCGGAGUGGCUAGGCCCGUGAGCCAUGGCCACUGAGCCUGCGCAUCUGGAGCCUGUGCUCCGCAACAGGAGAGGCCACAACAGUGAGAGGCCCGCGUACCGCAAAAAAAAAAAAAAAAGUGCAUAGCAGAGAAAACCAGUGGAUAAUAAAUAUAUGAACAAUUCAAAGCUUUUAUUGUUUCUUUUUUAAAAUAACAGCUUUAUCUAGAUGUAAUUAACAUAUCAUAAAAUUCAUCCUUUCAUAGUACACAGUUCUGUGGUUUUUAGUUGUGUCGCCAUCAUCAUGAUCUUACUUUUAUUCCCCCCAUAAGAAACUCGUAUGUACAAUCACUCUCCAUUCUCCUAUCCCCCGUCCCCCACCCCAGCCCUAAGCAACCACUAAUCUACUUUCUGUCUCUGUUGAUUUGCCUCUUCUGACAUGUCAUGUAAUUGGAAUCAUACAAUAUAUGGCCUUAUGUGUCUGACUUCUUUCACUUAGCAUAGUGUUUUCAGGAUUCAUCCACGUUGUAGCAUGUGUCAGUACUUCAUUCCAUUUUAUGGCCCACAUUAUCCUUCACCACAAUUUGUUUAUCCAUUCCUCAGUGGUGGACUUUGUUUCCACUUUUGAGUGAUAAUGAAUAUCUAUGUACAUGUUUUUUCUGUGUGUGAACAUGUGUUUUCAAUUCUCUUGAGUAUAUACCUGGGAAUAGAAUUGCUCCAUUUUAUAGUCUAUCUUAUUGUUAAGUAAUAUAGUUGUCGACUAGUCCAUUGAAUUAAAUUAUCAGAUGUAUCUACAUAGUGAAAAAAUAAUUUAACCCUGGGGCUAGGGGUAUUAUUAUACUAUUUUCCAUCUUUGGUUAUUUAAAGAGAAAGACUUAAAUUAAAGGUGAGUUGAAGGUAGCUCAUUGGGUUUUUCGAGUCUGCCCGCUUUCUUGGAAUGAUAGCUUAUGUAUAGUACUUUGGUACUCUAAUUCUCAUUUCACAUUUGCUCCUUGGUAACUCUAAAAAUUUUAUCAGUUGAAUGUUUGGAAGCAAAUAAUAAAAUAGAAAGCCCAAUGGCUUAAGCAGUAAUGAGGCUUUUCUAGAACAAUAACUGAAAAGUCCAGGUAGCGCUGGCUUCGGGCAGGACUUGUUCCUUCACUCUUAGAGUUCCCUGGUGGCUUAAACAGAAGGCCCAGUUGAAUCUUAUUCGCCCUGUUGAUCUAUCUUGGGUUGUGUGCUUAUCUUUGGUCAGGAUUUGGAGUAAGCUAGAGCCGGGAAUGGGUACAAUCCAUGUCAGUGUUCUGUUAGGAAAGGAAGGAGGAAUGUGUGCUGGAAAAAUACCAACAAGUGUGCACUGCAGAGUCACACCUCUUUUUCUGUAGAGCUGAUAAGGAAAAAAUAAGUACGUAUUCACUGCACCUGAGUCUGUAUCUGAUAACCUACUGAGUUCAGAAAGCCCAUCUUUGAUCAAAAGACCAACCCUUUUCUUUUUCUAGGGUCUCCUGCAGAUCCUUUGGAUGUCUAUGCCGUUUUAUUCUUAAGUAUUUGUUUGGUAAAGUAUUUUAUAGCUUUGUUAAACAAAACUGGUUCCUUUGUUUUAAGUGGUAAGUGUGGGCUGUAUUCAUAAUCACUGUGUCUGAGAUUUAAUUCUAAAGAGACAGUGAAGAAUGUUUUUAUUACUUUUGCUCAGCGAUAGUCUUGUUUGAUACAAGGGUUGGGCUUUUAGUGACCAGUGCAACUUGAGUUUUAUCUGAAGCAGCUUUUCUACAUGACCCUUCCAGUUAAUUCUAAUAAGUAACAGGACAAAGAAGUGGGUGGAUUACAAAUGAUUAAGCAAUGCUAAUUUACAGUAAAGUGCUGUCUUAAGAUAGGAUGCACAGUACUAGUUGUACUUUGGUUAUCACAUGUCAGUGACCGACUAGGUGCUGAUUUUUUUGUGUUGUAGUGGUAGUUCUAUGUUCACCCCCACUGUAGAAAGAGUACCACAGUGUUAUUUGGCUUUUAGGUAUUAACUACCACCUUGCUCUUGACCGGAAGUCCAGCUGUGGUCUCCACCUGUGCUGAGGACCCCUUCUAGGUUUCCUGACCUGUGUUGCUUUCCUGCCUGGGAUCCGGAAUCUCAGAGCCUGAUCACCUGCAAUUCUAAUCUACUUCCUGGCCCUGGCCCUAGUUUUUAUUGUGCCCAGCCAGGUCUUGUCACUGCCCUACCAGCCCAUCUGAUUGCCCCCUAUCCUAGGAUACCUCAAGUCUAAGCCCCGGUUUCCUGAUUUUAUUAACAGAUUUGUCAUUACUGGUUGAGUUGGCUGACAGAACAGUGUCUCUCAGCUUUAAUUGUUCUAGCUGUAAAAUGAGGAUAAUACCCGCUGUUCCAUCAAUCUUAUAAGAGAUUUGUGAGGCUCAAAGGUUUUAUGUGUGAAAAUACCUUGUAAAGAAGUAAAAAAUAAUAAUAAUAAUACGGAAUUAGGUGGCUUUAAACAUCCCCCUCUGGGCAUCAGUGAGGAGAAUGAGAUGAGCAUUAGGUGAGUUUCAGCAUAUCAUGUGAAUUGUAUCCAAUUUAAUAACUUUCCUUGUAUAGCUCUGUUGGCCUUUUUUUCCCCCUGCUGGGUAACAACCUCAAAAACCUCACAGUGAAUUAGAACCAACAACAUUUAUUUUUGUUUAUGGGUAUUCAGGUUGGUGUAGUUCUGCUGAUCGAGGCUUUUCUAGUCUAGGCCAGGCUGGGCUUAAACUUCUGGCCAGGUUCAGUUCUCUUUCAUGCGUUUGUAUUCUGGAGCCUAGGCUGAGAAGCAGUGGCUCCCUGGGCAUGUGGCUACAUGAUCUCAUAUAGAUUUACAGGAGUUUAAGAAGGGUGAGUAGAAACAUGCAUUGUCUCUUAAGGCUUCAUCUGGGAACUAGCAUAUUGAUAACUUUCUCCCAGUUUUAAUAGACAAAGUAAAUUAUAUGGCUAAGCCCAGUAUCAAUGGAGCCAGGAAAAUACUGCUCCCACAGUGGGAGACUGCAAAGUCGCACAACACGGGUGUAUAAUUCUAAUAAGGAUGGAGUGAAGAAUUGGGAAUGAUAAUCUACUUAGCCAUAGGUAUUAUCCUAGGAAUAAAGGUGCAUAAAACUAUAUGUGACAAAAGCAGAUUUCUCUGUAGAGUGAGGAGAUUAGGAUUAUGUAAGAAUAUACUUGGGUACAUUUUAAUAAUCUGAUUAAAAUGAUUAGUAAUGUUCACAAUAAAUUAAUAAAUGAUGCUUUGUUUACUGCUAUGUCUGAGAAAGCAACCAUGGUGGUACCGUGUUCAAUUCCUCACCUCACUGUCUGAAGACCCUUGCUAAAUUGCUUAGCAAUUUUUAAUACUAGCCUCUUGCGUAAAUUUUUUUUUUAAAUUUAUUUUAUUUUUGGCUGUGUUGGGUCUUCAUUGCUGCACGCGGGCUUUCUCUAGUUGCGGCGAGAGGGGGCUACUUUUCGUUGCGGUGCACGGGCUCUAGGUGUGUGGACUUCAGUAGUUGUGGCUUGUGGGCUCAGUAGUUGUGGUUUGCGGGCUCAGUAGUUGUGGCUCAUGGGCUCUAGAGCGCAGGCUCAGUAGUUGUGGCGCACGGGCUUAGUUGCUCUGCGGCAUGUCGGAUCUUUCCCAGACCAGGGUUCGAACCCGUGUCCCCUGCAUUGGCAGGCGGAUUCUUAACCACUGUGCCACCAGGGAAGUCCCCUCUUGUGUAAAUUGUAAUAGGGCCUGAAAUGCCAGCCUGUGGUCAGUCUUAAAUUAUUAACCAAUUCUUAUUCCCAUUCUUUCUCUAAAACUUAGCAAACUACUAAUUGGUCAGUUUUUACAUCAGCUGUUACAAGACUUUCAUAACAGCUAGAAUAUAGAAGCAGUGAAAAGGUGAGGCAUUUAAAAUUAUAUUUAGAAACAUCUAGGUCAUCUAAGGAACAUUUCAGGAACGUUGUAUGUAGUUCCCAUAGAAAGAAUUAUAAAUUUGUUUUUGUCUUUUUUGAGAGUUUCCAGUGCUGGCAGAGAAAUGGCUUUUGUAGACUUUGAGGAAUCUAGGUUUUAAUGGCUAGGACAGUAUUUUCCCUACUAAUUGAACUAUGGAACUCUUUUCCACAAGAAAAGGAUAUUUUGAAAAACUAAGCUUCCAUGAGGUACAUUUUGGAUAAUACUGUUGUAGGCCAUAUUUAUUUAUUAGGAUUAGGUUUAACUAUAUGUAAUAAAAACUCAAGGUAAUAGUGGCUUAUACAGGAAACAAAUAUAAAAAAACACAAAUGUUUUGUUUUUAAAAUGCAGCUAAAUAAAUAUUUGGACUUACUUGAAAAAGCUCAUAUUUUAAUAUAAUGUAUUUCAGCUAACCUAGACUGCUAAUUUAAAAUGGCUCAUUAUUUUGUGCCACUAAAAAAGAAAAAAAUAUAC